Molecule: ribosomal RNA, 305 nt
Filed under: uncultured bacterium
Lineage: Bacteria
Description: bacterial SSU rRNA
Rfam family: Bacterial small subunit ribosomal RNA
Source: RNAcentral
UUUUUCCUACGGGGCGCAGCAGUGAGGAAUAUUGGUCAAUGGUCGGGAGACUGAACCAGCCAAGCCGCGUGAGGGAGGAAGGUACAGAGUAUCGUAAACUUCUUUUGUCGGGGAACAAAGGCGGAGACGCAUCUCCGGAUGAGUGUACCCGAAGAAAAAGCAUCGGCUAACUCCGUGCCAGCAGCCGCGGUAAUACGGAGGAUGCGAGCGUUAUCCGGAUUUAUUGGGUUUAAAGGGUGCGCAGGCGGGAGAUCAAGUCAGCGGUAAAAUGUCGGGGCUCAACCCCGGCCGGCCGUUGAAACUGG